AGCAGCCGCGGUAAUUCCAGCUCCAAUAGCGUAUAUUAAGGUUGUUGCAGUUAAAAAGCUCGUAGUUGAAUUUCGGGAUUAGUGCGCCGGUCGUGCCUUCGGUAUGUACUGGUGUUACUGGUUCCUACCUUCUGACGAACCGUCAUGUCAUUAAUUUGGUGUGGCGGGGAAUCAGGACUGUUACUUUGAAAAAAUUAGAGUGUUUAAAGCAGGCUCGCGCUUGAAUACAUUAGCAUGGAAUAAUGAAAUAGGACGUUCGAUCCUAUUUCGUUGGUUUCUAGGAUUGACGUAAUGAUUAAUAGGGAUAGUUGGGGGCAUUAGUAUUCAAUUGUCAGAGGUGAAAUUCUUGGAUUUAUUGAAGACUAACUACUGCGAAAGCAUUUGCCAAGGAUGUUUUCAUUAAUCAAGAACGAAAGUUAGGGGAUCGAAGACGAUCAGAUACCGUCGUAGUCUUAACCAUAAACUAUGCCGACUAGGGAUCGGAUGAUGUUAUUUUUAAUGACUCAUUCGGCGCCUUACGGGAAAA
RNAcentral lists this ribosomal RNA (526 nucleotides) under uncultured fungus. RNAcentral's name for it is "SSU rRNA". It matches the Rfam family "Eukaryotic small subunit ribosomal RNA", at positions 569 to 1098 of the family's 1831-position model. Lineage: Eukaryota; Fungi. The record is from RNAcentral.